This is a non-coding RNA of Phascolarctos cinereus (koala), 3180 nucleotides long. Lineage: Eukaryota; Metazoa; Chordata; Mammalia; Diprotodontia; Phascolarctidae. The record is from RefSeq and is a predicted model, not a curated record.
CAUGACCUAGACUCUUUAGGACUGCCUGGUAUCAUUGAAGCCACUAGAUCAUCACUUACAUCCUGUCUCAGCCCCUUAUGCUUGGUAUAUGGUCUGUUACUCUCUCCACAAGCCACCAAACUUGAGAGCAGAUUCUGCCAAGGACUUCCGCAUCCUGUACCUCCAGAAUCUAUGUUCCCUGCACCAGAAGAAGCUACUCAUUUUUUGGAACUCCUUCUCUAGGGCUCCGCCCUGUUGAUUGGUGAUUAGGACAGCCUGACAGAGAAACGAGGCUAAAAUUCCAGUCAGCAAAGCAGGACAAUCAACAAAAGAAGUCCUGAUUUGUGAUGUUACCGAUUUCUGAAGUACAAAUCCUCACACUGAAAACUCAACAAUUGGCUCCCAAGCGAACUACAGAACAACCGUAGGUUCAGAACAGACUUAUGAAGACCAUAUUGUAUCUGACUAUCAAAUCUUAACUGAUGAUGAUAUCUCUGAAAAAGUUCUACCCUGGAAAGGACGUCGAAAAACUGAAGCAUAAACGGGAAAGAGCACCCACACUGUGGGAUUGCUACAGCUGAGUCCUAUAGCACUCACAUCACUUUGAAGUGAAUUUGAACUUAAUUGGCAAAACAUUGUCUAAAUAAAUGGUGUCAAAUUCAAAUAGAAAUGGGUUUAGGGGCCAUUAAUUUGUAUAUUAAGAUCUCUAAGGGCCACAGUUUUAAAAUGUAAUAUCUGUUUUAUUGUACUUUAUUUGGUUAAAUAUUUCCCAAUUACAUUUUAAUCUAGGGCUGCACUUGGCAAUGUUGGGGGCCUCAUAUGGCCCACAGACCACAUGGGUUGACACCUCCGGUUUAGCUCACCUCUUCAAAAGGUGCUUCUUUGAUAAACUACAACAAUGGAUCUAAUUGUAUAAAAUGAAAUUGUAUAAGACAUAAACAGAGUUUUACAUUUCAAUAAAAAAAUGGACUUCACAAACAAAAUGAGAGAGGCAUGGUCAAACACUAGUUUGUCUGAAAAAGAUCUAGAUGUCCUCAAAGACUGGAAGAUCAGUGCAAGUCAACACUAAUAUGGCAGCCAGCAAAGCUAAUGUGAUCUUAGCCUCCACUGAGAGGCAUACAGUCCAGGAAUAAGAAGGUGAUGGUACAUGCUGCACUCAGCCCUGGUCAGAUCAACUGGAAUACAGUUCAAUUCUUGAUACCACAUUUAAGAGUGUCCAUAGAAGGUAAACUAAAAUGGAGAAAGGCUCUAAGGUUAUACCAAAUGACAAUCAAUCAGUUGAAAGAGGUGGGUGUGGUUGUUUAGAUUGGGGAAGACAAUUUUUUCGUUUGGUUUUACUGGAGCUGUGACUUCUUCAGGCAGAGGGCAGAUCUGUACCUUCCUUGAAACUUAGUCUUAGAAAAUCGGGGGUGGAAGUUGUGGGGGCAGGAGCAAUGAGUGGUUAACUGACUUGCCCACAGUCAAAUAGCCAGUAUGUCAGAGGCACGAUCUGAUUCCAGGUCUUCCUGAGGCCAGUUCUCUAACCACUUUGGAACACUGCCUCUCAAAGAAAACUUGAGGAGGCAUAAUAGCUAGCUAUGACGAAGUAUUUGAAGCCUAUCACAUGGAAGAAGGAUUUACCUUGUUCAGCUUGGCACCAGAAAACAGAACUAGGAGCAUAGGUUUGCCGUAAAGAAAAAUACUGUAAUAACUAGAGUGAUAGAAAAGUAGUAUAGGCUGUUGUAGGAGGCAGAGGGUUCCCCUCACUAAGCAUCUUCAAGCCAAGGGUGGAUGGCUAUUGUUGGAUAUAAUAAAAAGGAAUAUAAUAAUUCAGGUGACAGUUGAACCAGAUGGCCACUGAGGGUCUCUCCUGUCAUGAAAUUCUGUGACUGUGAUUCAGCUCAGAGUUAUGAGUGUCAAAGACCAGUGUUUGAUCACAUCUCAGAGCUACUAAAACUAAUUAGUAUUCUUCCCUGCAAAGUAGUGGUCUCCCCAUAGGUUUAUAAGCCCAAUGUUUAAACCAAUAGAUUUUUACUAAGUUAGUUCAGAAUAAAGCAAAUUAGAAAAACUUUCUUGGUCACCCAAUUUAAAAAUAAAAAAACAAUGCAUUUUUGUUAAAUUUGGAAUUUUUUCACACUUAAUUUAAAAUAAAAACUUUGAUUCCACAGAUAACUGGAUUAGACAAUAAUAAUAGCUAAACUUCAUAAAGUGCUUAUAGGUUUGCAAAGCACUUUACAUGUUAUCUCAUUUGAUCUCACAACAAACUCUGGAGGCAGGUACUACUAUUAUCACCACCUUACAGAGGAGGAAAGAGUUGAGAGCACUUGCCCAGUCAUACUGAUAACAAGCAUCUGCAGCAGGAUUUGAACUCAAGUCUUCCCAACUCCAAGUUUGUCACCCUAAAUAACAGGUACCCAGAACUGAGUUAAUGAUCUUGUAUAGACCCAGUUCAGGUUAUUACACAAAUACCAAAUAAGAUGUGGACCUUCUCUAGGCCCAGAGUAAAUAUUUAAAGACAGGAUACAAUGCAUGAGCCUUUGACUGAGAAGCAACUUUCUAAGGAUUUAGUAUUUCCUUAAUUCUUAUGGGAAUUAUGACACUUACUUACAUAAAUGGGAAACCACACACCUCCCAGAAAAAUGAGAAUCUGUGAAGAACAACCUGUUGUAAGCUUCCUAACACUGCCUAAUAACGAGCUACAGAGAGAUGCCUCAGCAUUUCUAAGUUUUCGCUUUCUGCUCUCUAUGUCAUCUGUUAAUUUUGAAACAAAGUCUGUCUGUCUACGUACCAGGACCUUCUGACCUACUCCAUUUCCAACUUUACCUGGUUCCCCUCUCCUUAGAAAAACCAAGAUGGCCUUUUGUUCCUGAGGGCUCACCAUACUGAUGCUCAACUUAGUGCAGAUGACUGAUUGUACUAACCCAGUCACUGCAAAUCAGAACACCCAAACCCAAGAGGAUCCACCAGCUCAAGCCUCCCUGGUAGCUUGAGAUCCUAGGUGUGAAACAUCACACCCAACAAAAUUUCUUCCCAACUUAUUCACCUUUUCUCUUCCCCUAAAUAUUUCUGUCUCACUUCUAACUAAAACAUUACUAAAUGCAAAUGAUGGCAGAUGAGUUAACUUCACUUUAAAUGCGAUCCCACCAGAGGAAGAGAAGGAGGAAGUAAAGAAGAGGGGAAGAGGGAGAGGAUUCUGGGAAGAUGGCAGAGUAGGUCAGAAAA